RNAcentral lists this ribosomal RNA (468 nucleotides) under uncultured bacterium. RNAcentral describes it as "partial 16S ribosomal RNA". It matches the Rfam family "Bacterial small subunit ribosomal RNA", at positions 28 to 507 of the family's 1533-position model. The record is from RNAcentral.
GACGAACGCUGGCGGCGUGCUUAACACAUGCAAGUCGAACGGAAAGGCCCUGCUUUUGUGGGGUGCUCGAGUGGCGAACGGGUGAGUAACACGUGAGUAACCUGCCCUUGACUUUGGGAUAACUUCAGGAAACUGGGGCUAAUACCGGAUAGGAGCUCCUGCUGCAUGGUGGGGGUUGGAAAGUUUCGGCGGUUGGGGAUGGACUCGCGGCUUAUCAGCUUGUUGGUGGGGUAGUGGCUUACCAAGGCUUUGACGGGUAGCCGGCCUGCGAGGGUGACCGGCCACAGUGGGACUGAGAUACGGCGCAGACUCCAACGGGAGGCAGCAGUGGGGAAUAUUGCACAAUGGGCGGAAGCCUGAUGCGGCAACGCCGCGUGCGGGAUGACGGCCUUCGGGUUGUAAACCGCUUUCGCCUGUGACGAAGCGUGAGUGACGGUAAUGGGUAAAGAAGCACCGGCUAACUACGUG